This 612-nucleotide ribosomal RNA is filed under the name uncultured bacterium. Its description in RNAcentral is "bacterial SSU rRNA". The stretch from base 1 to 518 matches the Rfam family "Bacterial small subunit ribosomal RNA", at positions 338 to 873 of the family's 1533-position model. The record is from RNAcentral.
CCUACGGGAGGCAGCAGUGGGGAAUCUUGCGCAAUGGGCGAAAGCCUGACGCAGCCAUGCCGCGUGAAUGAUGAAGGUCUUAGGAUUGUAAAAUUCUUUCACCGGGGACGAUAAUGACGGUACCCGGAGAAGAAGCCCCGGCUAACUUCGUGCCAGCAGCCGCGGUAAUACGAAGGGGGCUAGCGUUGCUCGGAAUUACUGGGCGUAAAGGGAGCGUAGGCGGAUAGUUUAGUCAGAGGUGAAAGCCCAGGGCUCAACCUUGGAAUUGCCCUUGAUACUGGCUAUCUUGAGUACGGAAGAGGUAUGUGGAACUCCGAGUGUAGAGGUGAAAUUCGUAGAUAUUCGGAAGAACACCAGUGGCGAAGGCGACAUACUGGUCCGUUACUGACGCUGAGGCUCGAAAGCGUGGGGAGCAAACAGGAUUAGAUACCCUGGUAGUCCACGCUGUAAACGAUGAGUGCUAGUUGUCGGCAUGCAUGCAUGUCGGUGACGCAGCUACGACAUAAGACACCUCCGCCGUCGGGGAGGUACGGUCGGCGAAGAAUUAAAACUUAACAAAUAGAAGUUAGACGGCGUGAGACGUGCCGACGGACGACGACGAGGGAGGUUAGG